GGGUCAUUAGGUUGGUCGUGCCACCGGUACGUACUGGUCUCACUGAUUCCUCCUUCCUGAAGAACCGUAAUGCCAUUCAUUUGGUGUUGCGGGGAAACAGGACUGUUACUAUGAAGAAAUUAGAGUGUUUAAAGCAAGCUAACGCUUGAAUACAUUAGCAUGGAAUAAUGAAAUAGGACGAUCGAUCCUAUUUUGUUGGUUUCUAGGAUUGACGUA
This 216-nucleotide ribosomal RNA is filed under the name Glomeromycotina sp. Its description in RNAcentral is "partial small subunit ribosomal RNA". The stretch from base 40 to 216 matches the Rfam family "Eukaryotic small subunit ribosomal RNA", at positions 686 to 864 of the family's 1831-position model. The record is from RNAcentral. Lineage: Eukaryota; Fungi; Glomeromycota.